UACGGAGGAUGCGAGCGUUAUCCGGAUUUAUUGGGUUUAAAGGGUGCGUAGGUGGUAGAUUAAGUCAGCGGUGAAAGUUUGUCGCUUAACGAUAAAAUUGCCGUUGAAACUGGUUUACUUGAGUAUAGUUGAAGUAGGCGGAAUGCGUGGUGUAGCGGUGAAAUGCUUAGAUAUCACGCAGAACUCCGAUUGCGAAGGCAGCUUACUAAGUUAUAACUGACACUGAGGCACGAAAGCGUGGGUAUCAAACAGG
Molecule: ribosomal RNA, 253 nt
Filed under: uncultured Parabacteroides sp.
Lineage: Bacteria; Pseudomonadati; Bacteroidota; Bacteroidia; Bacteroidales; Tannerellaceae
Description: partial 16S ribosomal RNA
Rfam family: Bacterial small subunit ribosomal RNA
Source: RNAcentral